RNAcentral lists this ribosomal RNA (116 nucleotides) under uncultured bacterium. RNAcentral's name for it is "partial 16S ribosomal RNA". It matches the Rfam family "Bacterial small subunit ribosomal RNA", at positions 1367 to 1482 of the family's 1533-position model. The record is from RNAcentral.
UACGUUCCCGGGCCUUGUACACACCGCCCGUCACGCCAUGGGAGUUGGUAGUACCCGAAGGGAUUUUGCUAACCGCAAGGGGGCAAAUUUCAACGGUAAUACCGAUGACUGGGGUG